GUUCUUGUAGUAGCUUCAUCCUAGCAUUAAUCUUCUCUCUCCUUGCCUACAGACAUAUAUAUAUAAUCAAGAUAAUUAAAAGCUUAAUUAUAUGUAAUUACUAAUUACCAUGUUUAGCAAAACAUUAGAAGCUCUUAAUCUUACUCUUUCUGCUAAACUAUGGCUAUCAGUGGCUUGGCCUCGACGCGCUCGGACGUGAACAUAUGGUAGCUUCUCGCCGCCGUCUUCUGAGUUCGAUAAUCAACCGACUUGCACAAGAUUGUGCGAGGAGGAUAGGAGAGAGACGCAGGGAGGCGGACCCAAGCACCCCAACGGUGCGGCUCUCUAGUGUUUACAUAUGUUCACGAGUCAUUCUGUUUUGUAGGUUUUGACAAUAAUCCUUCCACAAGUUCAUCUAUGAAUCUUGUUUCGAUUUCUUCUUCCUCUAAAGGUCACUUGUUCAUGAAUUGCCAUAAAUAGACUUAACUCUUGCUGCAAAAUAGUUAUGUAAGUUAUUAUGGCACCUUUUAAUAGCAUAUGAAUUAACUAGCAAUUGGACCAAAAAUGAAAUAAAGGAAUAAAGUUUUUGGGCAUUUGGGGAUCUUCUACACGCAAUCGCAAAUUGAAGGGUGAGAUUUUGUCAGAACAAAAGUUAAAGGGUUGUCCAGGCAAUUUUGGAAAUAAAACUUUCAAUUCUUAAAAACUGAUUAAUUAGCGCUAAUGAUGGGCUAACUUAUAAUUAAUUUGGAUUAGAUACAAGAUAACAGGCUAAUUGAAGCUUGAGAUAAUCAGAUAUUGACGAUAAGGUAGCUCAAUGAGUAAUGAAAUAUGUUAAAUAUAUCUUAAUAUCUUACUUUGUUCUUAAUUAGAAUUAUGAAUAACAAAGUUAGUCGAAGAAAAUAUAACACGUCUAAUAAGUUUGAAAUCGUGGAUUGUACAUAUUUCAUAGCUGGUCAAUACGCGCACAACUCAAGUCAUCCAAACUAAAAAUUGAAAUGGUUUUAUUAUUACUUUAUAUAAAUUAAACUAUCUUACGACGUUUUAAAUCAAGCUCGUGUCCUUGUUUAGCAUGG
Molecule: long non-coding RNA, 1052 nt
Filed under: Solanum lycopersicum (tomato)
Lineage: Eukaryota; Viridiplantae; Streptophyta; Magnoliopsida; Solanales; Solanaceae
Description: partial TCONS_00162207
Source: RNAcentral